GCUGGAGAGAGUCAGCAGCGAACAUGCUGUGCUGCUUUCCCAGGCCUCGAGGCCGCAGCCUCAAGACCCAGCACGGGAAAAGCACUUGGGAAUGGGUGAGAGGAUGGAUCACUGGGUCCAGACACUCCAGGCCACUGGGCAGGAACCACCCAGUCCUCAGGAGCAGCCCAGGGCAGGUCUCCCUGGACAGUUUCCACAUCUAUGGGCCCUCUGUCCCAGAGCCCAGAAGGGCCUGCAUUUCCUCCCCACUGGAGGGGAUGGUGGAAAGGCCCAUAUCUUCUUCCCUUUACUCCUUGCUGGAGCGGCACACCCAGGUAUAUUACACUGUCAGAGAUCUCCUGGACCAGCUGGAGCGAGAUGACCUUACUGAGGCAGAGGCCAAGGGAGCAGCUCCAGUCCAAGCUGAAGUCCCACCUGCAGAGCCUGUGCCAGCUCCACCUGCAGCUGCCUCCCCAGCUCUGGCACCACAGCCAGAGCGAGCACCAGAAAGCCCUUCUCCUCCAGCUGGACAGCUGGGGCAAAUGGUGGCUCCUCAGCAGGUGUCAGCUC
RNAcentral lists this long non-coding RNA (549 nucleotides) under Heterocephalus glaber (naked mole-rat). RNAcentral's name for it is "lncRNA (ENSHGLG00100046343.1)". Lineage: Eukaryota; Metazoa; Chordata; Mammalia; Rodentia; Bathyergidae. The record is from RNAcentral.